This 298-nucleotide ribosomal RNA is filed under the name uncultured Bacteriovorax sp. Its description in RNAcentral is "partial 16S ribosomal RNA". It matches the Rfam family "Bacterial small subunit ribosomal RNA", at positions 29 to 334 of the family's 1533-position model. Lineage: Bacteria; Pseudomonadati; Bdellovibrionota; Bacteriovoracia; Bacteriovoracales; Bacteriovoracaceae. The record is from RNAcentral.
AAUGAACGCUGGCGGCGUGCUUAACACAUGCAAGUCGAACGAGAAAGCAUCUUCGGAUGUGAGUAGAGUGGCGCACGGGUGAGUAACACGUAGGUAACCUGCCCUUUGGUGGAGGAUAACCAGGAGAAAUUCUGGCUAAUACUGCAUAAGUUGGUAACAAGAAAGGAUGCUCCGGCAUUCGCCGAAGGAUGGGCCUGCGGAACAUUAGCUUGAUGGUGGGGUAAUGGCCUACCAUGGCUACGAUGUUUAACUGGUCUGAGAGGAUGAUCAGUCACACUGGAACUGAGACACAGUCCAG